GUAGGGAAUAUUGGGCAAUGGAGGCAACUCUGACCCAGCCAUGCCGCGUGCAGGAUGACGGCCCUCUGGGUUGUAAACUGCUUUUAUACGGGAAGAAAAAAUACUACGUGUAGUAUACUGACGGUACCGUAAGAAUAAUGAUCGGCUAACUCCGUGCCAGCAGCCGCGGUAAUACGGAGGAUCCAAGCGUUGUCCGGAUUUAUUGGGUUUAAAGGGUGAGUAGGCGGAUCUUUAAGUCAGUGGUGAAAGCCUGCAGCUUAACUGUAGAAUUGCCAUUGAAACUGAAGAUCUUGAAUGUGGUUAAAGUAGGCGGAAUGUAUCAUGUAGCAGUGAAAUGCUUAGAUAUGAUACAGAACACCGAUAGCGAAGGCAGCUUGCUGAACCAUUAUUGACGCUGAGGCACGAAAGCGUGGGGAGCGAACAGGAUUAGAUACCCCUGUAGUCC
RNAcentral lists this ribosomal RNA (445 nucleotides) under uncultured bacterium. RNAcentral describes it as "partial 16S ribosomal RNA". It matches the Rfam family "Bacterial small subunit ribosomal RNA", at positions 354 to 796 of the family's 1533-position model. The record is from RNAcentral.